AAAAUACUCAUUUGCCUAAUAAUUCUGCACUCCCUGUAGAAGAAACAGAUCGAGGAAGCAACAGUUGAGCAAACAAAGAAUGCAUUGUGGUCAGCAUAUCGCAAGAAGAGAAUCACAGCCAGCAACUUUGGUUUGGUCCUGGGUGCAGUCCAGAGGCGCUCAUACCCUCCUUCCUUAUUUAAGACUCUGCUUGGCCAGUACAACCUGACAGAAGGAUGUAAAGCAUGUGAUUGGGGGAUCCUUCAUGAGCCAAAGGCCAAGCAACUGUACACUGACUGUACUGGUGCAGCUAUCAAGGAGAGGGGACUGUUUUUAUCCAACAGUGGCCUGCUUGAUGGUUCUCCAGAUGGUAGAGUCUCUAAUGACUGCAUCAUUGAGGUGAAAUGCACCAUAGUCAGCCAGAACCAAAACUGUUUUGCAGGCAGCAGAAAGUAAGGACUUUUUCUUACAGCUGGACGAGACAAGUUGUUCCUUGGUAUUAAAAAAAAAAUCACAACUACUGGCAUCAGAUCCAGGGCAACCUAUAUCUCAUGAGGCCGAAAAGCUCUCACUUUAUUAUUUGGACUCCAUGUGACUUUGUAAUCUUGCCUGUCAAUAAAGAACAAACUUGGGCUGUUAAUGACACCAUGUACUUUUAC
This is a long non-coding RNA of Oreochromis aureus, 638 nucleotides long. RefSeq lists it as uncharacterized. The transcript is spliced from 3 exons. The record is from RefSeq and is a predicted model, not a curated record. NCBI's taxonomy places the organism in Eukaryota, Metazoa, Chordata, Actinopteri, Cichliformes, Cichlidae.